This 234-nucleotide unclassified non-coding RNA is filed under the name plant metagenome. RNAcentral's name for it is "partial contains small subunit ribosomal RNA and internal transcribed spacer 1". The stretch from base 1 to 46 matches the Rfam family "Eukaryotic small subunit ribosomal RNA", at positions 1786 to 1831 of the family's 1831-position model. The record is from RNAcentral.
UAGUCGUGACAAGGUUUCCGUAGGUGAACCUGCGGAAGGAUCAUUACGUUCAGUAGCCUAGCUACUGUCAGUGGGGCUCGUUAGUCUGCAUAGCUUAAACGCUGAUGAGCAGCAGGCCCCUCGUCUUCACCCUUGUUUUUGCGUACCCAUGUUUCCUCGGUGGCUUGCCGCCGGCUGGACAAUACUAUAACCUUUUAAUUUUCAAUCAGCGUCUGAAAAACUUAAUAAUUACAA